GCGUAAUAACCACCGACCGCUUGGAAGACAAACGAUGUCAUCUUCCUUCUGUCAGAGCAGGAAGGGCAGCCUGGAGAGAAAGAGAAGCCGGGUUGAGCCCACUACCAUCAUCCACGUACCACGAGGAAGAUGAGGGAGAGAAAUGAUCCUACCAUUAAAGAGACUGUGAAAAGAACGUUGAGAACAUCACCACUCUACAGGAAGACACAGUCCAGUAAUGGGUGUCAGAAGUUCAGUAGUGAAUGACGGGUACUGUGGAAAAAUGUGUGUCAUUGUUGUACAAUGUCCUUUGACUCUGUUUACACAAGGUUAACACAAAAAGGUUUGAUUGUAAACUGAUAUUGGUAUGAAUUCAUGUUAUUCUCCUCUUCACAAGAAACAAACAAUCCAAAUUACCUGCAGAAAGCCCUUGAUGGACGCUUCAGGAGCAUUGUCAGACUGGCCAGACAGCAAGAUGCCAACUUUAAUGCCAAUUUAUUUGUGUAACAUUCUGUGACCAAAUGUAUAGAUAACUUUUUGUAGAUUGUAAAAAAAGAUAACCCAUUUAUUAAAAAAAAACUACAGUAGAAUUACCGCACUGCGUUGUAUGACUCCGCUAACCAGUGCAGUGUCCGUCUACAUAUUUCUACAUAUUUUCUCUCGUAUAAAUGACACUGUAUCUCUUGACAACUGAAACCAUAAGAUGAGGUCAGUGUGGCCUUGACCUUUUGACUUUAACACAAAUACACAG
Molecule: long non-coding RNA, 730 nt
Organism: Pleuronectes platessa (European plaice)
Lineage: Eukaryota; Metazoa; Chordata; Actinopteri; Pleuronectiformes; Pleuronectidae
Exons: 3
Source: RefSeq, a predicted model, not a curated record